RNAcentral lists this long non-coding RNA (468 nucleotides) under Trifolium pratense (red clover). Its description in RNAcentral is "long non-coding RNA (TPRA_LNC001342)". The record is from RNAcentral. Lineage: Eukaryota; Viridiplantae; Streptophyta; Magnoliopsida; Fabales; Fabaceae.
UUGUGCUCUAACUCGUCAAUGGCAAAUCCUACAUUAUGAAAACCAAAAACUAUGUUAAAUAUUAUUAACACAAGAAACAAAAAAUAAUUUUUAUGAGAUUAAAAUUACCAUAACACAAAGAUUCUUAGGAAGAACUGAGAUUUUAGUAACAAUUUUAAGAUAGAAAUAUGAAAGAAAAAAUUGCUGUAAACAAAAAGAAAAUUGAAGAACAAUUGAAUAAAAUCAAAUUACUGUACCUUCUUAAAGUAUACACAAUUGAAGAAUUUUGAAGUAUUGAAUAUGAAACAUGAUUUGAGAUUACCAUUACUAAAUAUGGAUUGGAAAAAUAUUAAACAUAGGCAAUGUAAUUGGAGUUGCAGAUUUGCAGUGUUCAGCGAAAUUAGAGUUGCAAACUUGCAGUGUUGAGCAGAUUAGGAUUUGUAAAAUAGUGGCCUAUUUAAAACCGUCUUCAAUUUAGUGGGAGCAUUU